UCCGGUUUGACACCGGCAGUCUCGCUAGAGUCCUCGCCAUGACGCGUUAGCAACUAGCGAUAGGGGUUGCGCUCGUUAAGGGACUUAACCCGACACUUCACAGCACGAGCUGACGACAACCAUGCAGCACCUGUUCACGUUCCACCCUUGCGGGUGUGGCUCCCGUUUCCGGGAGUUAAUCCGUGUAUGUCAAACCCAGGUAAGGUCCUUCGCGUUGCUUCGAAUUAAGCAACAUGCUCCACCGCUUGUGUGAGCCCCCGUCAAUUCCUUUUAGUUUUAGCCUUGCGACCGUACUCCCCAGGCGGCGCACUUAGCAAUUUCUCUACGACCAAUACGACGUCAGAGCCGCAUCGGUCUAGUGCGCAUCGUUUAGGGCGUGGACUAC
This 385-nucleotide unclassified non-coding RNA is filed under the name uncultured Phycisphaeraceae bacterium. RNAcentral describes it as "contains 16S-23S intergenic spacer region". The record is from RNAcentral. Lineage: Bacteria; Pseudomonadati; Planctomycetota; Phycisphaerae; Phycisphaerales; Phycisphaeraceae.